GAAUCGGGUCCUACGCAACGAAAACUUAUGAACCGUGUCAGGCCUUGAUCGGAGCAGCACUAAGUAAGACCUUUCGUGUGCCGUAUGGAGUGCCUUAUUUGAGC
This 104-nucleotide signal recognition particle RNA is filed under the name Peptoniphilus lacrimalis 315-B. Its description in RNAcentral is "Bacterial signal recognition particle RNA". It matches the Rfam family "Bacterial small signal recognition particle RNA". From Rfam's summary of the family: The signal recognition particle (SRP) is a universally conserved ribonucleoprotein involved in the co-translational targeting of proteins to membranes. Archaeal SRP consists of a 7S RNA and homologues of the eukaryotic SRP19 and SRP54 proteins. In most bacteria, the SRP consists of a 4.5S RNA and the Ffh protein (a homologue of the eukaryotic SRP54 protein). RNAcentral also lists the same sequence under 1 other name. Lineage: Bacteria; Bacillati; Bacillota; Tissierellia; Tissierellales; Peptoniphilaceae. The record is from RNAcentral.